AUCUCACUGUUCAAACAAAUUCAAAUUUUACAUGAGGUACUGAUGUAUUCUUAUUAACUUUUACAAUAAAUUUCAACUGCAAAAUCAUCUUUGAAACUUGAUGCACUUCCAUUUCACAUGUAUAAAUCCUUAAGAACUUGGUGAUAUUCCUCCCAUCAAACCUCCCAACUUUGUCCACUACUACUUGUAAGGCCUUAGUAGUGUUUCUAUCCUCUUUAUGUACUUGUUGCCUUUCUUUCAUAAAUUGAGCAAAUGCCAUGAAUAAAUCAUGGGCACCCAUUCUUCCUGAUAAUCCAAACCCUGGAUUUUGAUCCCCCAUUUCAACUUGUUGAAAAAUCAGUGCCUUAAGGCUCUCUCAGUGGAAGCACCAAUAUGUCAGGAUAGAGAGAGUUUGCCUUAAGAAAACGCUGAGCUUCUAGCUGUCACUAAUUAUUCAAUC
RNAcentral lists this long non-coding RNA (439 nucleotides) under Physcomitrium patens. RNAcentral's name for it is "long non-coding RNA (PPAT_LNC007056)". The record is from RNAcentral. Lineage: Eukaryota; Viridiplantae; Streptophyta; Bryopsida; Funariales; Funariaceae.